AGUGAACGUUGGCGGCGUGGAUUAGGCAUGCAAGUCGAGCGGGAGUAGCAAUACUCCAGCGGCGAAAGGGAGAGUAAUGCGUAGAUUACCUACCUCCAGGCCCGGGAUAGCCGUGGGAAACUGCGGGUAAUACCGGAUAAUGUCUCCGGACCAAAGGUGUGAUUCCGCCUGGAGACGGGUCUGCGUCCUAUCAGCUAGUUGGUGAGGUAACGGCUUACCAAGGCGACGACGGGUACGAGGCGUGAGAGCGUGUCCUCGCUCACUGGGACUGAGACACUGCCCAGACACCUACGGGUGGCUGCAGUCGAGAAUCUUCGUCAAUGGGCGCAAGCCUGAACGAGCGACGCCGCGUGCGGGAUGAAGGCCUUCGGGUUGUAAACCGCUGUCAGAGGGGAUGAAAUGCCGGUGGGUUCUCCCAUCGGUUUGACAGAUCCUCAGAGGAAGUACGGGCUAAGUUCGUGCCAGCCGCCGCGGUAA
Molecule: ribosomal RNA, 477 nt
Filed under: uncultured bacterium
Lineage: Bacteria
Description: partial 16S ribosomal RNA
Rfam family: Bacterial small subunit ribosomal RNA
Source: RNAcentral